Long non-coding RNA from Ictalurus punctatus (channel catfish), 5161 nucleotides. RefSeq lists it as uncharacterized. The transcript has 2 exons. Lineage: Eukaryota; Metazoa; Chordata; Actinopteri; Siluriformes; Ictaluridae. The record is from RefSeq and is a predicted model, not a curated record.
CAGAGCAGCUGUAGGGGAGGAGCUCUGCUCUUAAAGAGAAGCCGUCCCAGUUUCAGCCAGCUGCUCGCCAAAACAGCGACCGGACCCGGGCCUGCUCCACGCAUCGCACAGAACACACACAAACCAAGCUUACUUCAUUAUCAGGACGGGACUGGGAUCCGUGCCCCCCCACCUCUCUCUCUAUCUGAGGCGGUAUCGGGUUUCAGGAAGACGACAGAAGGUUCCAGCAUGCUCCGAUGCCUAAAAUAGGCCAAACCCCACAGGCUACCUGUGGACACGUCCUGUAUCGGAGAACGCCUGCUCAGCGCUCGGGAAAACGGCGUCCGAAUAAACCAGUCGUAUCCACUUAUUCUAGAGAAGUCCCAGUAUACUUCGCGUUUUGGUUUUUUGACGAAUAACCGGACGUGGACGUCCAGCUCCCGGGCUCCGGGGAGACUUUCGACACAAGUCAGUGGAGUGGACUGGAGUCAUCAACUUUGUCAGCUGCGUUUGUUCAGUACAGCCGUGUAUUUAUAUUGCGAGCCCCAUGUAAAGAAAGAGCUCUAAUACAAAAAGAAAAAAAAGAAAAAGAACAACCUCUCCUCGAGCGAAAGAGCCAGUGACUCGGAGCCCGUCUCCUCCUCCAGCUGCGGCCAUUUUGUCUCUGAACGACAAGAACAGCUGUUUACAAACACCACUGCAGCUGCCUGGGGCUUCAUCCGAGAGGAUUAUAACCCACAACAGUUCUACCUACACACACGCACAUUAAUACUAAAACUAAAUAUUACAACCACAUCCGGAGCGUUCGGUUUAAUUACCUCCAUAUGAUCUUCUGUCUCAGAAGAACACAAUGAAACUAUUAUAAACACUAUACUACGGGUUUCCCGUCCUAAACGAAGGAAUAACACGAUAAUAACGGAUGUAGAAGUUGUAGUAGGAAUAAUAAUGGAAUUUUAUUUGGUAAAAAAACGCACACGCACAUUUAUGAGGUGUUUUAUUCGCGUCAGCGCCUUUACAAGUCGUGAGGACGGUAAACACACUGAUGUGUGUAUAGGUGUGUGUGUGUGUGUGUGUGUAGAAACGCCACAGGGUUGGGAAACUGCUGAAAUGUUCGUCUCCACACAGGGUUUUGUUUGCUUCGAAGGGCAUUACGUAAUUCUCGGUGUUUUCCUCCUGUUCUCUGGAGACGCUUCUUCACAACAAACCUACAGAAAACAUCCCUCAGAACAUCUCAACCCUGUGAAUGACCUCCUCCUCCUCCUCCUCCUCCUCAACACCCGGAGCUUUACAGGAAUCAAAUGAGUUUCAAAAAGCUCAAAUCAUUUAAUCGUCGAGCUGUGUGUGUGUGUGUGUGUGUGUGUGUGUGUGUGUGUGUGUUUUUUCGGCUCGUUUCCGUCUAUGUGGCUCUGCGUGAACACAAAGACACGGUCUGUCUCUGUCCAAACAAAACACACUCGGGCGCGAGCGCGCGCGCAUUUUUCCCUAACCGUCUUUUAGCAAUGACAGGGGCGCGCGCGAGAGAGAGAGGGAGAGAAAGGAGGGGGGGGAGAGAAGAAAAUAACAAACACUCGUUUCAAAAGGAGGAGGAGGAGGGGGAACAGACAGAAAGGGAAGAUUAUAACUUCUUCAGUUCUCACCUGCCAUCAUGUCCUGGAGAAUCUGGCUGAACGUCUGAAGUUGUCGGUCGUUCACGAGUCCCUUCACGCGCAGGAACCUGGACAGGAAACCGACGGCGGCGCUGAUCUCGGACUUCAUAGUUCCGCGCGCGCAGAGCGGAUGCAUCGAGGAAUCUUUCAACACGCAGCGUCGCGCGCUUCACCUUCACGUCUUAACGUCAACUCUGUUAGUGCCUCCGUUUUCCGGUGAGGUUUUUUUUUUUUUUUUUUUUCUUUUACGGCCGAUGCUGGGCAUGUAUUUAUCCAGGAAAUGUUUGUGGUGGUGUUGUUUCUUUUGGGAUUUUUUCUCCCCCCGACCAAGGUAUCCUUCUUGUUCCGUGAUGACGUCACUGCACGGCGACUCCGCAGACCUACAGAGCUCCCAGGACUGAAGAAGAGGACAGCUUGGUAUAUAUACCGCGCCAUGACUCCGCCCACAGCUCACCAGCAACAGCAACAGCACUGGACCAAUCAAAGGAGAGCGACGCCGUGACGCAUGCGCGGAGGAGGAGAGUGUUUGCGUCACUCCCACAGAAAAACACAGCCUGUUUUUCUGGGGCUGAUUGAGGAGUUGAAGAAGAAGAGGACGGAUUUAAUUUGUCACACAGACACAACAGUACAGUGGAAAAAAAUGAUUAUCUUCUCCUGUCAGGAAGGUCAGAGGUUAGAGUGUGUGGUUAAGGAGCAGAGAGGUUUAAGGGCCUCGCUCAGGGGCCCAACAGUGGCAGCUUGACCCCUGACCUUCUGAUCAGUAUCCCAGACAAUACUCUGUCCCUAACUAUAAAACACACAACGAUAAACAUGGCCGCCGUAUCAAGAUGAACGUAGUGUUAAUACACUGCACAUUGCUUUCAAAAUCCUUAGGCACAUGUGCUUUCUACUCAUAUAUACAGUAAAUAUUCUCCAUUAAGGCCUCUGUUUCAUUAUAGUUAUUAUAUUUAUAUUAUUUCUGGAAAUUUGAAAAGCACUAAAUACAUACAGUAGACCUGGCAUGAUACCACUUUUGGUGCUCUUGUGCUUAACAGAAAUAAACACGACCAAACCGAUAGUACAUGACAUCACAUAAAGGGGCGUGGUCAUCAUCAAACAGGAAGUCAGCCCCCAAAAAGCUUGAGGUAGAAAAAGUACACGUGCUUCCGACGUAGAUGUUCUACUGUAACAAAAGAGCCGUAAAUGAUAACGAGUCUUUAUCGAUCACGUAUACAUUACAGCACAGUGGAAUUCUUUUCUUCACAUACCCCAGCAUGUCAGGAGGUUGGGGUCAGAGCGCAGGGUCAGCCAUGAUACAGCGCCCCCUGGAGCAGAGAGCGUUAAGGGCCUUGCUCAAGGACCCAACAGUGGCAGCCUGGCAGCGCUGCAGCUCGAACCCCCGACCUUCUGAUCACUAACCCAGAGCCUUGACCUUGUUUUGUUCCUUGUAAGAAAGCGUAAGCAAAGUGUAUAUACAGAGACGACACACCACACUGAGGCAUUUUACUGCUUUUACUGCUGUUCUGCAACAAGGCGUUGGGAAUUACCCACUGUGUAAGGGGAAAUCCUGCACACAGGGUAACAUUAAAUGUCAUUUCUCACUUUUCACAGCUAGUUUCGCGACCAAAUGCAGAUCUGUUGCAGUUCCUCAUAUGUCAUCUUGCUCCUCUGUGCAUUCCGUUGCUCGUGAAAGUGAUCAUCCUGGAAAAAGACCUAUCGUCAGGAUUGAAAACCCGACCGUGGUCGUACAGAUAUUUUGGACAAAAAUUUUACCAUACUAAGGCUUUAGUUUUACACAAAUACCACUACUACUGGUCUUCAGCGAAAGACGAAUCUGAACGGCUGUGUCUGUUUGCUGGAAAUAGAUAACACAAAAACCCUAUUCUUAACACUUAUCUCUUUGGAAAGUUGUGACCUUGCUGCUCUGUCUGUAGUGUAAAGUGUACGUGUGUGUUUUCCAUGUGUAGGACGGUUUCUUCAUCAGCGCUAUCAGCACUCGAGGGACACUUCACUCAAGGCCCAAUCAGCUUGAACAGUGCUCUUCAUGGAUAAUCAGCCAUUCUGUGCUUUAAAUGGUCGCUCAGUUUGUGCUGUUUGACCAGUGUGCCCAGACUCAGAUUGGACUGAACACCCUUUAGUUUUUUAAAAACUUUGAUAUUUGUCGUUAUAUUUUCCUUGCACGUUUUCAGGAACCGUAUGUUUUAUGACCUGUGAGUGAACGACACAUAACUGGAUGGAAAGUGAGCGUCGUUGAGGAUGAGUCAAGCCAUCAGUAUGUGCAAGCAGCUUCUGAUUCCCCGUGUCCAGAGCAUGAAGAUACGUGUUCCUGUGUCAUAAAGACACAGGCCGAGCCCGGUUUUCCUUUCAACGCUUUUCCUUUUAAUAUUAUAACUACGGGGCAUGGGGAACAGGUUCGUGACAUUCCGAGGAAUCGGUUUAUGACAUUAUCAUGGUUUUGUACUUAUUUAUAUCGAAACGAUGUUUUUCUCAGCCGUAGUUCAUGGAACUCCUGCGUGGCGAACCAAAAAUACUGACUACUUACGGGAGGUCCUUUCUAACGGAAGAAAGAAGUAAUAUUUUUUAACGCUGUCAAUUAUUACAGCAUUACAUCACUGACUGAUUAUAUCAGUCAAAUACUUAAACCAGUCAGAUUUGUUCUUUUUCUCUUACUCUCCCUUGCAUGGGAGGAUAUUUCUGCUUUCACAGACUCCCUUAAGGUGUUUAGUGCGUGUGUAAACAAGCAGGAAGGUGUGAGUGUGUGUGUGUGUGGAAGGAGAAGGCUCCGCAGGAGACGUGCUAACAGCAGCACAACUUCCUGGAGCAGAAUACAUGAGAGCAAGUUUUAACUGGAUGUGUAAACAGUCAAUUCAUCAAUUGUCAGGUCUCAGCUUCACUCAAGGUGCGAUCCUGGUCACCAGGGAGCCUAAGGAACGAGCCGUUUCAUGUCUCCUCGCAGGUGUGAGAGUCAGGGAGUGAGGGUGGGAGAGGAGGAAAGCAGGCUGAGUAUAGCUACUCACACCCCAUGACACACACACACAGACACACACUUGUCAUUCAAACUGAUGCAUGUGUGCUGAACAAACGCAUACUCAUACCAGCAAAUGAACUACUUCCAAUGCCGGAGUAUACAGAAGAAAUUGUACUUUAUUAUUGUACUUAAGUGUAAUUUUGGUGCGUCUCCUUUGCGAUCCUUAAUACGCGCAAAUUCCAUCUCAUUUGAAAAAGCAUGGUGGGAUACAUUUCAGUUGUUUGCUUACAAUAAUGGGCUAUAUUUAACUAAGAUAACCUGAUUUCUUUGCUAACGCCAGGUUAGACUAGCAUCAGUUCCAGCAGGUCGCAUCAUUAGCUUAGCAUCGAGUCAAAUUCUAGCUAAUGGUAAAUAUUCGUUAUUAUUUUAUUCGUAUUAUUUUACUUCUGAUUACUUCAUUAUCAAACUAUGUAGCAUUCGUCAUGCAUGUGACCAGCAAACCCACAGAGACUGAAUGAAGGUGUAGUUGCUUAAAAAUGAAUUCAUCUAAAAUAAAGUUUUAAAUAAAGUUAUUUUUCACAUGAAAACA